Molecule: non-coding RNA, 570 nt
Organism: Marmota monax (woodchuck)
Lineage: Eukaryota; Metazoa; Chordata; Mammalia; Rodentia; Sciuridae
Source: the annotation of a RefSeq genome assembly
UGGGGAGGGAUAAGAAAGGCUGAGGGCAGCCCACAGCAGCUCUGGAACUCAAGAAACUGUCCAACAUGGUCAGGACUCUUCUUGUCCUUAUGAUGCUCACUCACAGCCCAGGGUCCCUCUCCCAACCUGUGCUGACUCAGCCUCCCUCUGCAUCUGCCUCCGUGGGACAAACAGCCAAACUCACCUGCACUCUGAGCAGUGGCUACAAUAGUUAUGUGGUGAACUGGUUCCAGCAAAGCCCAGGGAAGAGCCCCCGUUUUGUGAUGCAUGUGGGCAGUAGUGGCAUUGUGGGAUCCAAGGGGGAUGGAAUUCCUGAUCGCUUCUCAGGCUCAGGCUCUGGCCUGGAUCGAUACCUGACCAUCCAGAACACCCAGGAAGAGGAUGAGAAUGUCUACUACUGUGGGGCAUCUCAUAGCAGUCGGAGCAUCUUCAUGUAAUGCACAGUGACACAGGCAAAGGGGAAGUAAGACAAAAACUCCUAGGAGCUUCCUUAUCAUGAUUAAUAAUAUCUAACUUCCCAGAUAUUUUAUAAACUUAAUUCACAUUAAAUAUUCCUCAUAUAAAAAUACA